UUUUUUCCCGACCUUGGAAUGCUUUACAAAGAGAUUUUCACAGGGUUUGUCUGUUCCAGCCUCUCAUUGCCAGACUCAUUCACCAGUUCUUGUAAUUUCUUCUCAGCUUUUCCAGCUGCCUCUCAAUAUUCAAUAUUUAUGAAUUCAAAUCAUAAUUAUGUUCCUAUUCUUUUUGUUCUUCCAGCUUCCCAUUUUUCUUCCCUAGCUGAGUUAUCUGGUAUUUUUUACUGGGCAAGCAUCAGAGUAGCUUUUAUCCACCACUGUACAAUCGUGACCAUAAUUCUCUUUCACUUUUUUUUUUUUUUUUUAUUUUUAGUUGCUCUUAAACCACAAUGUGACUUGGAGAAGAGAAUGGGGUUUUUUUCCCUGACAUUGCAUAAACAGGAGGCAGAUCAAACACUCACGUCCCAUAAAAUUGACCUCUUUAUUUGGAUGCUGUAGUGCAACAGCAGACUUGAAAAAGGCUUUUCCCAGUGAAAAAGGCUUUUCCAAUCUUGACUCAUCAGCUGGUUUGGUGUUAAAAUAUUUCCCCCCUCUGUUGUGAAAUGCAAAGGGCUCAUAGGUUGCCUCCGAUUUUAGGCUUGGUGGACUCUGUACUGUCACAGUCAGUAAUUUACAGUUAAAAAUAAAUUCCUUGGCCUUAGGAAUUUUACAUUUUCACUUAAAAAAUGCAAGAGAGGAAGAGCAAAGGCUUUUUAGCUUUACCUUUUGGAAACUGGAGGAGGGGAAGAAGUGUCCUAAAUGAGAUGUUUUUAAGAUGGCUCCAAACAGCUCUGUGCUUUCCUUGGAUUUGAUGCUUCUCAGCUGCUUGCCUAAAAACCCGAGUCCAGAGCCAGCCCUGGGGUGCACUUAAAGCUGGUUUUAGGUAGGGCAGCCUGAAGACCCCAAAGUAUUUUCUAUGUGUGUUUAUACAAGGAAUUGCUCCAGCUAGAUACAAGUCUUAGAGAAUAAAUAUUAUAAUUAAAUAGGAACUUUAACUAGUAUAUGUCCUUAAUAUGAAGGAACUGUUCUUCUGGAAGGUACUGCUGGAAGAGAGUAUUUAUUUCAAGAUACUGUAUCCCAGUUGGAGUGUAUAUAAUUCCUGUCUGAAGAAUUUUCUGCUCCAAACCCACUUGCUCAUAUAAACACUUUUCUUUUCUGUAGUUGAAUCCCA
Molecule: non-coding RNA, 1153 nt
Organism: Sturnus vulgaris (Common starling)
Lineage: Eukaryota; Metazoa; Chordata; Aves; Passeriformes; Sturnidae
Source: RefSeq, a predicted model, not a curated record